GACGGAGGGUGCUAGCGUUGUUCGGAAUUACUGGGCGUAAAGGGCGCGUAGGCGGCCUUCUCAGUCGGGUGUGAAAGCCCGGGGCUCAACCCCGGAACGGCACCCGAGACGGGUUGGCUGGAGACCGGGAGAGGAGGGUGGAAUAGCCAGUGUAGAGGUGAAAUUCGUAGAUAUUGGCUGGAACACCGGUGGCGAAAGCGGCUCUCUGGCCCGGUUCUGACGCUGAGGCGCGAAAGCGUGGGGAGCAAACAGG
RNAcentral lists this ribosomal RNA (253 nucleotides) under uncultured bacterium. Its description in RNAcentral is "partial 16S ribosomal RNA". It matches the Rfam family "Bacterial small subunit ribosomal RNA", at positions 524 to 776 of the family's 1533-position model. The record is from RNAcentral.